Molecule: ribosomal RNA, 492 nt
Filed under: uncultured bacterium
Lineage: Bacteria
Description: partial 16S ribosomal RNA
Rfam family: Bacterial small subunit ribosomal RNA
Source: RNAcentral
AGUGAACGCUGGCGGUAGGCCUAACACAUGCAAGUCGAACGGCAGCACAGUAAGAGCUUGCUCUUACGGGUGGCGAGUGGCGGACGGGUGAGGAAUACAUCGGAAUCUACUUUUUCGUGGGGGAUAACGUAGGGAAACUUACGCUAAUACCGCAUACGACCUACGGGUGAAAGCAGGGGAUCUUCGGACCUUGCGCGAUUGAAUGAGACGAUGUCGGAUUAGCUAGUUGGCGGGGUAAAGGCCCACCAAGGCGACGAUCCGUAGCUGGUCUGAGUGGAUGAUCAGCCACACUGGAACUGAGACACGGUCCAGACUCCUACGGGAGGCAGCAGUGGGGAAUAUUGGACAAUGGGCGCAAGCCUGAUCCAGCCAUACCGCGUGGGUGAAGAAGGCCUUCGGGUUGUAAAGCCCUUUUGUUGGGAAAGAAAAGCAGCAGGUUAAUACCCCGCUGUUCUGACGGUACCCAAAGAAUAAGCACCGGCUAACUUCGUG